CGGCACGCCUAACACAUGCAAGUCGAACGAAGUAGCAAUACUUAGUGGCAGACGGGUGAGUAACAUGUAGGUAUCUACCCUGUGGCCUGGAAUAACACGAGGAAACUUGUGCUAAUACCGGAUAAGUCUUUACGGAGAAAGCUUUAUGCACCAUUGGAUGAGCCUGCACUUGAUUAGUUAGUUGGUAGGGUAAUGGCUUACCAAGACUUUGAUCAAUAGCUGAUUUGAGAGGAUGAUCAGCCACAUUGGGACUGAGACACGGCCCAAACUCCUACGGGAGGCAGCAGUGGGGAAUCUUGCACAAUGGAGGAAACUCUGAUGCAGCGAUGCCGCGUGAGUGAAGAAGGCCCUUGGGUUGUAAAGCUCUUUCGUCGGGGAAGAAAAUGACUGUACCCGAAUAAGAAGGUCCGGCUAACUUCGUGCCAGCAGCCGCGGUAAUACGAAGGGACCUAGCGUAGUUCGGAAUUACUGGGCUUAAAGAGUUCGUAGGUGGUUGAAAAAGUUGGUGGUGAAAUCCCAGAGCUUAACUCUGGAACUGCCAUCAAAACUUUUCAGCUAGAGUUUGAUAGAGGAAAGCAGAAUUUCUAGUGUAGAGGUGAAAUUCGUAGAUAUUAGAAAGAAUACCAAUUGCGAAGGCAGCUUUCUGGAUCAUUACUGACACUGAGGAACGAAAGCAUGGGUAGCGAAGAGGAUUAGAUACCCUCGUAGUCCAUGCCGUAAACGAUGUGUGUUAGACGUUGGAAAUUUAUUUUCAGUGUCGCAGCGAAAGCGAUAAACACACCGCCUGGGGAGUACGAC
This 798-nucleotide ribosomal RNA is filed under the name uncultured Pelagibacteraceae bacterium. RNAcentral's name for it is "bacterial SSU rRNA". It matches the Rfam family "Bacterial small subunit ribosomal RNA", at positions 40 to 886 of the family's 1533-position model. The record is from RNAcentral. Lineage: Bacteria; Pseudomonadati; Pseudomonadota; Alphaproteobacteria; Candidatus Pelagibacterales; Candidatus Pelagibacteraceae.